Molecule: long non-coding RNA, 4156 nt
Filed under: Canis lupus familiaris (dog)
Lineage: Eukaryota; Metazoa; Chordata; Mammalia; Carnivora; Canidae
Description: lncRNA (ENSCAFG00000056926.1)
Source: RNAcentral
UUUGAGAGAGAGACGGAGAGAGAACACAAGUGGGGGAGACAGAGAGAGGAGUGGAGAGAGAGGGAGAAGCAGACUCCCCGCUGAGCAGGGAGCCUGAUGCGGGGCUCGAUCCUGGGACUCUGGGAUCAUGACCUGAGCCAAAGGAAGAUGCUUAACUGAUGGAGCCACCCAGGCAUCCCACUACUGAAGGCUUUUAUAGAAGGUUUUUAAAGAAUUUAUGUUGUGUGGUGGUAAUGUAGGCUCAAGACAGAACCUAGAGCAGCUAGAAGAAGAAAAGCCUGUAAGGAGACUAAAAGAAACCAUCAGGUUUUAGGAGGAGACUCAUGAGAUGAUGGUAUCAGCUCUACUGAGGAAAGGAGGUUGGUUCUAGAAGGGAGUUCUUAACCGUGUCAAGUGUCGAAAAGAAUUUAAGAUGAAGUAUAACAAGGGUCUAUUAGAUUUUUCCAGGAGGAUGGCACUGAUGACCUUGCCAAGGCAGGAUUCCCCAGCCAAAUAUAGCUGUACAAGUUGUUGACUGAACAAGAACAUCAGCCUACCCCGUGCUCCUCCCCUCAUGCGAAGGGAUGUGUGUUCCCUAAUUGGGGGCACAGACACCAAACGUGCUCGUGAACUUACUGGUGUCUCAGCAGAGUGGAGGGGACAGAGCCCCAGCACAGUGAGUUGAACACUGAACAGGAAGAGAGAAGGAGGGUACCUUCUACAGUCAAAGCUCAGUCCUCCGGGUGCACAACUUCAGUCUGACAGAAAGAAGGACUGUGGCUAUGCAGGAAAGAGAGAUAAAUUCAAGGAGAGGGGUUAGAAGAACAAAGGGAAAGAGUAGAAGAGAAGGGACCAUGAUGGAAUGUGGGUUCUGGCUUCAAGUGCUAAUCAAACUUAGCUGCUUGUUCUGUUCAUCCUCAAAGGGCUCCACAUCGUUUCCACACAGCUGCCUUCCCAUAGCAGUGGACUCUCAAGUCACCUUGGGAGGGAGGUAUUGCCGGUUUCUCAUCUCCCCUCCACACUGAGGAAGCCAAUAUGCCAGAAGUCCCAUGUUACAUGAUGGAGCCGGGGGGCGUGUGUGCCAUAAUGGACCAAGGACUCACACUGCCUGCCAGUUCAGGGGCCAGCCCCAGUACGUUCACUCUGGAGCAAGUUGCAUCAAACCACAGAGCCUCUGUUUGCACAACUGUUAAGUGGAACAUGUGAGAUCUGCCUUCAUUCCUUCAGGACAUGAGGAUGGGCUGAGUGUACAAACACCUACAGUAGAGCCCAAUACAUAGACUCUCUCUCUCUUCUUCCACCUAGAACUCACAGUCUGAUUAUCUGACUCCAGGUGGAGAGUUAGAAACAAGGUGACUGCUAUGGGUAUUUACUCAUUCGCUUAUUUUCAAAUCUAUGUAAGCUCUGGUUUAAGGAGAGUCUUAAGAGUUAGGGUGUAGAAAUAAAAUUCCUGAAAGAAUUUUUGUUGCUAAUAAAAUAUGAUGUGUUCCAUUUACCUAACAUCUUACAACAUGCCUCCCAAAAGUACCAGUUGAUUCUAAGGCUAUUUCCAUCUCCCUUUGCAUCAGCCCCUCUGGGGAUUUGGAGCUGAGCUGUGUGAGGGGAGAAGGAAGGGCUGUCCCAUGCAUACCUGAGGACCUUUCACCCAUGCUGAACUGUAACUUAGUUGAAAGAAGAAAGAAGAAAGAAAAAAGAAGAAAGAAGAAAGAAGAAGAAGAAGAAGGUUCCAGAUCUGGCCAGGGAAAAGACUGGUCAUCCUCUUCACUGCUGCUUUAUGCCAUGGAGUUAUCCCUCAAAGGAAUGAAAAAGCAUCCACAUUAAAAAAAAAAAAAAUACAUGAAACGAUUUAAUUAUCUGGUUCUAGUAAAUAUUUUUUUCCCAUUAAAACAUUUCCAUCAAAAGAUCAGGAAACAGGGCCAGGCAAGUUGCUUUUUAAAUUCAACAAUGAUUCCUUUUCUAAGAAAAAAAACAAACAAAUUGGAUAGAGCAGAUAAUCCCCAUAUCCCCAACAGGAAAACACAUAGUGUAGACUAAUUAACCCAGUUUUGAUCACCGGGAAACUAAUGUACACUAUAUAGGAAUAUCAACUCAGGUCACCUGACACUGGCCUAAUUCUUUUGGCGAUAUUUAAAUGUAUAUCAGCAGGUCACUGCAUUAUUUAGUGUCAUUCCAGCUGUGUGCACUUAUUUUCCAUCAUUUUUAAUAUUAUUCCAGAAAAACAGGAAGGCCUCUCCCAUGCUCACACUGGAAGCAAUCUGAUUCAGUUACAUAUGUGGCAGACGCGCAGAGCAGUGGGUAAGUUCCCAUCUCCAGUCCCGCUUUCAUUUCCUGAGUGCUUUUCUAUGUGCCAGGCAGUGCUCGAGGCAUCAGGAACCCAGUGGUAAAUCUGUCAAGAUUCCAAUUCUCCUUGUGGAAAUUAAUUCUCACUGGGGCACACAUGACCAGAAUAAUAUCUGAGAGCAGUAAAGGCAGUGAAGAGAAUAUAAAGGUACAAAGAGAUAGUAUAUCCCUCGAGGUGGGGCCGGGGCUACCUUAGGCAGGGUGGCCAGGGAAGACCCACCUGGAGAUGAUGAGAAUGCAACAGUUGUGCAAAGAUCUGGGGCAGAACCGUUUUAGCAGAAGGAACAGCAUAUGCAAAGGCCCUGAGGAGAGAAGGAGCUCAGGGCAGCUGCAGAACAGAAAGGAGGCCACGAUGUUGAGGACCCAAAACAAGGGGCAAAGCGCCACCAGACAACGUGAGGGACAAGGGCAAGGGCCAGACUGCAGUGAGCCCAGGGGCACUUGAUGAAAAUGCGGAUGUUAUCCUAAGGGUAAUGCAAAACUAUGGAGAGUUUUGAAAGCAAGAGAAUGAUCUGGUCUAAAUCUAAGCCUGCAACAGAUCACUGAGGCGGAGGGCAGAAUGGUCUAGGAGGGCGCAGGGAGGUGGGGGCGGGGGUGGCGGGAAGGGAGCAGAGACCUCGCUGUCCAGACAAAAGAUAAUGGUGACAGUGUCUGUAACAGCAGCGAAAUUAUUUUAAUGAAUCGUUUCAAAUGAAAUCCCACUUCGGUUUCACCAAAGAGAGCAGAAGCCUUAAUGGAAAUGUGGUGAUACGUGGCGAAUGCGGAGAUGACAUCUGCCGGCACCCGGAGCAGGCGAAGGAGCUGCACGGACCAGAAGCCGGCCACUCCGUGACGCGUUUAUGUGCUGGUGGGAAACAGGCACGCAUCACGGCUGGCACUUCCAUCCUUGAUUCAGGUGAAGGGCACCCACAUUUAUUUCUCAUGAACACAACGUGUCCCAGAAAUCACUGAUGAGCAUAGGAUGCCACUGAAUCAAACCCAGCCACCAACACCUGGCAACACAGAGACAGAGGGGCAACUGCCUUUAUUUAUUGAUUUUUUUUUUAACAAAUUCUUAUCUUCAGUGAAGAGAAAGAGAUGUUUCAAAAAGACUCUGGUCUUCUCUUUGCUUAGCCCACAGCAUGAACUCUUGCUCCCUGGUCUUUAUCCCAUAGAUUGCCCAUUCCCGCCUGGCCCUGAGGUUCUAAGACUUUUCUGACCUUUAUUUCUGCCAUUAGGAGCUAGAGGCCUAUUAGCUCUGACAAAGACUCCUCCUCUUUAUCCUUUCUUUUCUUUUUUAAGAUUUUAUUUAUCUAUUCAUGAGAGACCCAGAGACAUACAGGAAGAAGCAGGCUCCCUAUUGGGAGCCCAAAGAGGGACUCGAUUGCAGGACCCCGGGAUCAUGACCUGAGCCAAAGGCAGACGCUCAACCACUGAGCCACCCAGGCAUCCUAAGACUCCUCCCUUAUCAAACCCUAGUUAGAUUCCUCUGAGUCCUCUUUUGGACCAGGCCUUGCCCUUGGUUUCUGUCCUUGACCUGCUUAUUCCAGUUUUAGCAAGAAUCCUGCUGAGACCAUUUAGGGAAAAAUCCCCCACCCUGGUAUCUGAUCAUCCUUGACAUCUGAUCCAAUUCUUUAUCUCCCACCUUCCAGAUCUGGCCAGACUGCCUUCAGCAAGAACCAUCCUCACCCCUGGUGUUUCUCCUUACAAAUUUCGUGUCCACUGAUCUUCAUCCUGCUGUUUGGCUACGCCUUGCUGUAUUUUAGAGUUGGGCCUGAUUUCUCUCCCCUACUGCAAAAUUCCACUGUAGUAGCCACCUUGAUUAAACGUCUCUUUACUAAAAAAAAAAAAAAAAAAA